Molecule: ribosomal RNA, 2355 nt
Filed under: Campylobacter jejuni
Lineage: Bacteria; Pseudomonadati; Campylobacterota; Epsilonproteobacteria; Campylobacterales; Campylobacteraceae
Description: partial 23S ribosomal RNA
Rfam family: Bacterial large subunit ribosomal RNA
Source: RNAcentral
UGUAGCAAUACAGGGUGAUGGACUGCCUUUUGCAUAAUGAGCCUGCGAGUUGUGGUGUCUGGCAAGGUUAAGCAAACGCGAAGCCGUAGCGAAAGCGAGUCUGAAUAGGGCGCUUAGUCAGAUGCUGCAGACCCGAAACGAAGUGAUCUAUCCAUGAGCAAGUUGAAGCUAGUGUAAGAACUAGUGGAGGACUGAACCCAUAGGCGUUGAAAAGCCCCGGGAUGACUUGUGGAUAGGGGUGAAAGGCCAAUCAAACUUCGUGAUAGCUGGUUCUCUCCGAAAUAUAUUUAGGUAUAGCGUUGUGUCGUAAUAUAAGGGGGUAGAGCACUGAAUGGGCUAGGGCAUACACCAAUGUACCAAACCCUAUCAAACUCCGAAUACCUUAUAUGUAAUCACAGCAGUCAGGCGGCGAGUGAUAAAAUCCGUCGUCAAGAGGGAAACAACCCAGACUACCAGCUAAGGUCCCUAAAUCUUACUUAAGUGGAAAACGAUGUGAAGUUACUUAAACAACCAGGAGGUUGGCUUAGAAGCAGCCAUCCUUUAAAGAAAGCGUAAUAGCUCACUGGUCUAGUGAUUUUGCGCGGAAAAUAUAACGGGGCUAAAGUAAGUACCGAAGCUGUAGACUUAGUUUACUAAGUGGUAGGAGAGCGUUCUAUUUGCGUCGAAGGUAUACCGGUAAGGAGUGCUGGAGCGAAUAGAAGUGAGCAUGCAGGCAUGAGUAGCGAUAAUUAAUGUGAGAAUCAUUAACGCCGUAAACCCAAGGUUUCCUACGCGAUGCUCGUCAUCGUAGGGUUAGUCGGGUCCUAAGUCGAGUCCGAAAGGGGUAGACGAUGGCAAAUUGGUUAAUAUUCCAAUACCAACAUUAGUGUGCGAUGGAAGGACGCUUAGGGCUAAGGGGGCUAGCGGAUGGAAGUGCUAGUCUAAGGUCGUAGGAGGUUAUACAGGCAAAUCCGUAUAACAAUACUCCGAGAACUGAAAGGCUUUUUGAAGUCUUCGGAUGGAUAGAAGAACCCCUGAUGCCGUCGAGCCAAGAAAAGUUUCUAAGUUUAGCUAAUGUUGCCCGUACCGUAAACCGACACAGGUGGGUGGGAUGAGUAUUCUAAGGCGCGUGGAAGAACUCUCUUUAAGGAACUCUGCAAAAUAGCACCGUAUCUUCGGUAUAAGGUGUGGUUAGCUUUGUAUUAGGAUUUACUCCGAAAGCAAGGAAACUUACAACAAAGAGUCCCUCCCGACUGUUUACCAAAAACACAGCACUCUGCUAACUCGUAAGAGGAUGUAUAGGGUGUGACGCCUGCCCGGUGCUCGAAGGUUAAUUGAUGGGGUUAGCAUUAGCGAAGCUCUUGAUCGAAGCCCGAGUAAACGGCGGCCGUAACUAUAACGGUCCUAAGGUAGCGAAAUUCCUUGUCGGUUAAAUACCGACCUGCAUGAAUGGCGUAACGAGAUGGGAGCUGUCUCAAAGAGGGAUCCAGUGAAAUUGUAGUGGAGGUGAAAAUUCCUCCUACCCGCGGCAAGACGGAAAGACCCCGUGGACCUUUACUACAGCUUGACACUGCUACUUGGAUAAGAAUGUGCAGGAUAGGUGGGAGGCUUUGAGUAUAUGACGCCAGUUGUAUAUGAGCCAUUGUUGAGAUACCACUCUUUCUUAUUUGGGUAGCUAACCAGCUUGAGUUAUCCUCAAGUGGGACAAUGUCUGGUGGGUAGUUUGACUGGGGCGGUCGCCUCCCAAAUAAUAACGGAGGCUUACAAAGGUUGGCUCAGAACGGUUGGAAAUCGUUCGUAGAGUAUAAAGGUAUAAGCCAGCUUAACUGCAAGACAUACAAGUCAAGCAGAGACGAAAGUCGGUCUUAGUGAUCCGGUGGUUCUGUGUGGAAGGGCCAUCGCUCAAAGGAUAAAAGGUACCCCGGGGAUAACAGGCUGAUCUCCCCCAAGAGCUCACAUCGACGGGGAGGUUUGGCACCUCGAUGUCGGCUCAUCGCAUCCUGGGGCUGGAGCAGGUCCCAAGGGUAUGGCUGUUCGCCAUUUAAAGCGGUACGCGAGCUGGGUUCAGAACGUCGUGAGACAGUUCGGUCCCUAUCUGCCGUGGGCGUAAGAAGAUUGAAGAGAUUUGACCCUAGUACGAGAGGACCGGGUUGAACAAACCACUGGUGUAGCUGUUGUUCUGCCAAGAGCAUCGCAGCGUAGCUAAGUUUGGAAAGGAUAAACGCUGAAAGCAUCUAAGCGUGAAGCCAACUCUAAGAUGAAUCUUCUCUAAGCUCUCUAGAAGACUACUAGUUUGAUAGGCUGGGUGUGUAAUGGAUGAAAGUCCUUUAGCUGACCAGUACUAAUAGAGCGUUUGGCUUAUCUUUAAUAAAGCAU